UACGUAGGGUGCAAGCGUUGUCCGGAAUUAUUGGGCGUAAAGAGCUCGUAGGCGGUUUGUCGCGUCGGCUGUGAAAACUCGGGGCUCAACCCCGAGCCUGCAGUCGAUACGGGCAGACUAGAGUGCUGUAGGGGAGACUGGAAUUCCUGGUGUAGCGGUGAAAUGCGCAGAUAUCAGGAGGAACACCGGUGGCGAAGGCGGGUCUCUGGGCAGUAACUGACGCUGAUGCGCGAAAGCCAGGGGAGCGAACGGG
RNAcentral lists this ribosomal RNA (253 nucleotides) under uncultured bacterium. RNAcentral's name for it is "partial 16S ribosomal RNA". It matches the Rfam family "Bacterial small subunit ribosomal RNA", at positions 524 to 776 of the family's 1533-position model. The record is from RNAcentral.